AACANGUGAGUGACCUGCCUUUUAGACUGGAACAACUUACCNAAAGGUGAGCUAAUGCCGGAUGAGUUAUAUAAGUGCAUGUUUAUAUAGGAAAAGUUGGGGAGACCUGACGCUGAAAGAUGGACUCGCGUCCCAUUAGCUAGUUGGUAGGGUAAUGGCCUACCAAGGCGACGAUGGGUAGCCGGCCUGAGAGGGUGGCCGGCCACACUGGGACUGAGACACGGCCCAGACUCCUACGGGAGGCAGCAGUGGGGAAUUUUGCGCAAUGCUCGUAAGAGUGACGCAGCGACGCCGCGUGAAUGACGAAGGCCUUCGGGUCGUAAAGUUCUUUCGACAGGGAAGAANNUGCCUAUAAGUAACUGUGUAUGUAUUGACGGUACCUGUAUAAGCAGCCCCGGCUAACUCCGUGCCAGCAGCCGCGGUAAUACGGAGGGGGCGAGCGUUGUUCGGAGUGACUGGGCGUAAAGAGCACGUAGGCGGUGUUGUAAGUCAUUAGUCAAAGACUAGAGCUCAACUUUAGUAAGGCUAGUGAUACUAUAAUACUAGAGUAUCAGAGAGGAUUGCAGAAUUCCUGGUGUAGCGGUGAAAUGCGUAGAUAUCAGGAGGAAUACCGUUAGCGAAGGNGGCAAUCUGGCUGGAAACUGACGCUGAGGUGCGAAAGCGUGNUAGCAAACAGGAUUAGAUACCCUGNAGUCCACGCUGUAACCGAUGGAUGCUAGGGU
Molecule: ribosomal RNA, 722 nt
Filed under: uncultured bacterium
Lineage: Bacteria
Description: bacterial SSU rRNA
Rfam family: Bacterial small subunit ribosomal RNA
Source: RNAcentral